Molecule: long non-coding RNA, 1862 nt
Organism: Lates calcarifer (barramundi perch)
Lineage: Eukaryota; Metazoa; Chordata; Actinopteri; Centropomidae
Exons: 4
Source: RefSeq, a predicted model, not a curated record
CACACACACACACUCAACCCUCUCCCCUCAGUGAGCCUCCAAACCUCUUUCGUCUCCUCACUCCUCUAUCGGGUCCUCGGGGGGGAAGGGAAACCCAUGAAAUGAUUCCUGACAUGACGGAUCACAGAGCAGCGCUGGUUGAGCCGUCUGAUAUCAACACUUUUCUGCCUGACUGUGGACAAGUAAGGCAGGGGGAUUUGCAAUGAUUUCCCCUGGCUGUAGCUGCAGCUGUAUCUGCUCCUGCUGACUGAAGUUACUGACGCCAGCCCACUGUGCAAGUUCACCCACACAAACACUGUCACAUGGAAAACUGUUUGUGAGGGGCAUGUUUGGACAUACUGGGUUUUCAUCUGGAGGCAAACCUUAAUAGCACCUAAGGUUUGGACUAUCUACUCGACUCGUGUCAGUGUUGGACUACAGUGUGUGGUUCGACUCAUUAUUUGGAUGUUUCCAAGGACGUCUGAUCAAAGUUCUGAGUGAUUUAACGGAUCGUCUUUUUCCGCUCAUCAUGUAUGGCCCCUUAAGGAAAAAUCAACCAAAGUGCUGGAGAAAGAAUGUCUUAACAGUAAAGAAGAAGAGACUAAACAGAAAGAAACACUGCAGCGGACGAAGAGGGAGAAAAUUCACAGUCUCUACUCUGGAUGACUUUUUUUUCCUGAAUGAAAAAUGUCUUACCUUCAAGAAUGACUUCUUUGCCAGUUUUCUUCAGCGCCUGCACAGCCUCAUCGUGUGUGGCUUCCCGUAAGUCAUAACCAUUGACAGACAGUAUGGCGUCACCAACAUAAAGCGCCUCAGUCUGGUCAGCAGCCAGGCCCUUAAAAAUCUUGGAGAUGAGGAUUGGCAUCUUGUUCUCCCUCCCACCUGCAAUACAGAAAGGAAGAAUAAUGUUUUGUCUUCUAACCUGCUGUUUCAUGUGUGGCACAGUGAAACCACAGCAUUCAAUCACCUUUGACCCAGGAUCAGAUUUACAAAGCAGCUUGGAAUUAAGUUCUUUGCUACUUACACAAUCCAUACAAAGUGCAACAGUAGAGGCUGGUUAGUAGCCUCUGUGCCACACCUCCUCAUAUUUCAGCAUUUAAGGUGUAUGUACUAACUUCUGCAGUUUCCUGUCGCUUCCUCUCCCUCCCUCUCUCACUCGUUAAAUGAAGGUCAGCUAGAAAGCUGAUGGAUCUGCCUCUCGCUGUGGGCUACUCUUCAUGAGAAAUAUCGUCAUUAAUGUCAGCUGGCACUUGCACCCUGGCCUUCAGGCGAAUGAGAAAUUAUCUAAAAGGGGAUUACAUUUAAUUAAUUUUAAACACAUCUUCCACAGGUUGCUUCCUCUGGGCGAUUCCUUAGGUUUUAACUCAUGUAUCUUCCUUUAGAGGCCACAGCGCAGUGCUCUUAAUAAAGAAACUCCAGGGCUGAGCUGACGUCUUCUUAUUAUGCAUGACGAUCACUUUGCCACUCGUGUUUUAGAAAGAGGGAUUUACCAGCUGCUUGACCGCUUCAUGGCAUCAGAUAGUUGUUUACUGCUUUGCACUGAGUCUCUGAAUCAUGAUAUGCUGAUUAAAAUUUCAGAGUGGAGAUGAGGUGAAGAGGAACCUUCAGCAGUGUUGGUGGUGAUGUCAUUGAAAUUUUAAUCACUGAGAGUAUCUAUCAAAAUGAACCUGAAUCAUUUCUUUGAAUCGUUAAAUAUAAUAAAUGCACUGGGAUUUGGCACAGGGACAUGAAGGAGACAGUUAACAUAUUUCCCCAUGACUGAUGAUGAUUGUGGACACAAAUAUAAAGAAGUGUACAAUGCAAAGGAAAAGCAAAGUACAGCUGUAGAUACUGUGACUGUGAGAGAACUGAAUAAAGUGUUACCUUAUAGGAAACAUUUAAAA